Molecule: ribosomal RNA, 491 nt
Filed under: uncultured bacterium
Lineage: Bacteria
Description: partial 16S ribosomal RNA
Rfam family: Bacterial small subunit ribosomal RNA
Source: RNAcentral
AGUGAACGCUGGCGGUAGCCCUAACACAUGCAAGUCGAACGGCAGCACAGUAAGAGCUUGCUCUUACGGGUGGCGAGUGGCGGACGGGUGAGGAAUACAUCGGAAUCUACUUUUUCGUGGGGGAUAACGUAGGGAAACUUACGCUAAUACCGCAUACGACCUACGGGUGAAAGCAGGGGAUCUUCGGACCUUGCGCGAUUGAAUGAGCCGAUGUCGGAUUAGCUAGUUGGCGGGGUAAAGGCCCACCAAGGCGACGAUCCGUAGCUGGUCUGAGAGGAUGAUCAGCCACACUGGAACUGAGACACGGUCCAGACUCCUACGGGAGGCAGCAGUGGGGAAUAUUGGACAAUGGGCGCAAGCCUGAUCCAGCCAUACCGCGUGGGUGAAGAAGGCCUUCGGUUGUAAAGCCCUUUUGUUGGGAAAGAAAAGCAGCAGGUUAAUACCCCGCUGUUCUGACGGUACCCAAAGAAUAAGCACCGGCUAACUUCGUG